CAGGACCUUGCGCAGCUCCGCGCGUUUCCCAUGACUCACCUCAGUAACUUAUCACCAGCAUUACUCACCCCAAUAAUUAGGAGGAAGGAAGGCUUACAUAAAUAGCUCCUUGAA
Long non-coding RNA from Ficedula albicollis (Collared flycatcher), 114 nucleotides. RefSeq lists it as uncharacterized. The transcript has 3 exons. The record is from RefSeq and is a predicted model, not a curated record. Lineage: Eukaryota; Metazoa; Chordata; Aves; Passeriformes; Muscicapidae.